UCCCUUUAUCCGCCAAAAAAUAAGUGUCUCUUUUACAUUGAUAUGCCCCCAGUUUCUACUUUUGUGUGACAUAAUUGUGGUAAAUCUUCUUCUUACUUGCCUAAUUGCGUAAGAGCCGUAUUAACUUAAAAGUUGGGCUAUUCACUAUGAUACCACAUAAAAUAUUUCUUUAUUGGCUCUUUCUAUAAUGGUUCAUUAUGCACCAGUUCAUUUUCAUUUGGAUCAAAGUUACAUACUUUGUACUUACCUUCAAAAUCAUGACUUCCACCAAUUCCCUUCCUUUCUCUUAGAAAUAGAUAUUGCCAAUUAACAUUUAGAAUUCAGAUGUGAACAAUUUCGUCAUUAGACAAAUCAAAAGGUGUCAAUGUUGUGCUUAAAUUCGGCUCAAUAGAUUGAACUAGUGUAUCAACGAGUGGCAAUGUUUGCUAGCUAUCCUUUAAUGGACAAACAAUGAUUAGAAUAAGUUUUGAGAAGCUGAAAGUUGACUGUUUGACUUUGAAUAUUGCAUACCAUGUCUGGACUGAUGGAGAUCAUUGAGUUGUUAUCUGCUAUGUUUUCCCUUUUCUGGUGGAUAUUUUUGCCAUCAAUUUCUUGCUUGAAAUCGUAAUUUAAGUAAGUUACUGUCCCGUAUCAGUUUGUGAAGUCUAUGUUACUAAAAUCUGUCAAAAUAGUCUUAUCUUUAGCAUAAUGACUGUUGUUACAAUGUGUGAAAAUUGUAUGGUAUACAAUAGAGGAGAUGCUAUUCUUGUCUCAACUAAAUGAUCCUUGUACCCUAGGAGAACAUGUUUUUGGAGGGUUACGGACAUUAAUGCGCACACAUUGAAUCUAGACUUACAAAGUAUAUAAAGCCUGGCAUUAGAGAUUUAACCUUCAUGACAUAUGCUAUGUUACUUCAGUAUGAGUACUAGGCUUGCUAGUAUUAUCCGUUAUCAAUUCUUUUAUGGUAUCUGGUAAUUUGUUAGAGGUAUGAAAAUACCCAUAUCCAUGCCUAUUUGUUUGACUUCAGUGAAUCAGUGGAAACAAAGAGUUUGCUUGUGUCAAUAGUGGCAAUCUGCACUCAGUUUCUUUGUGAAGUCCAAUUAUACAAAAUCAGUUCCUACUAGGAGAAGAAAGAAUUGGUCAUUAGGUGAACGUUUCAUUUUGUUGGAACUGAAUCAUCAUGAGAAUAACUUAUGUUCAUCUAUUCUUCUUC
Solanum verrucosum is the source of this 1192-nucleotide long non-coding RNA. RefSeq lists it as uncharacterized. The transcript is spliced from 2 exons. Lineage: Eukaryota; Viridiplantae; Streptophyta; Magnoliopsida; Solanales; Solanaceae. The record is from RefSeq and is a predicted model, not a curated record.